GAUGGAGGGGGAUAACUACUGGAAACGGUAGCUAAUACCGCAUAACGUCGCAAGACCAAAGAGGGGGACCUUAGGGCCUCUUGCCAUCGGAUGUGCCCAGAUGGGAUUAGCUAGUAGGUGGGGUAACGGCUCACCUAGGCGACGAUCCCUAGCUGGUCUGAGAGGAUGACCAGCCACACUGGAACUGAGACACGGUCCAGACUCCUACGGGAGGCAGCAGUGGGGAAUAUUGCACAAUGGGCGCAAGCCUGAUGCAGCCAUGCCGCGUGUAUGAAGAAGGCCUUCGGGUUGUAAAGUACUUUCAGCGGGGAGGAAGGGAGUAAAGUUAAUACCUUUGCUCAUUGACGUUACCCGCAGAAGAAGCACCGGCUAACUCCGUGCCAGCAGCCGCGGUAAUACGGAGGGUGCAAGCGUUAAUCGGAAUUACUGGGCGUAAAGCGCACGCAGGCGGUUUGUUAAGUCAGAUGUGAAAUCCCCGGGCUCAACCUGGGAACUGCAUCUGAUACUGGCAAGCUUGAGUCUCGUAGAGGGGGGUAGAAUUCCAGGUGUAGCGGUGAAAUGCGUAGAGAUCUGGAGGAAUACCGGUGGCGAAGGCGGCCCCCUGGACGAAGACUGACGCUCAGGUGCGAAAGCGUGGGGAGCAAACAGGAUUAGAUACCCUGGUAGUCCACGCCGUAAACGAUGUCGACUUGGAGGUUGUGCCCUUGAGGCGUGGCUUCCGGAGCUAACGCGUUAAGUCGACCGCCUGGGGAGUACGGCCGCAAGGUUAAAACUCAAAUGAAUUGACGGGGGCCCGCACAAGCGGUGGAGCAUGUGGUUUAAUUCGAUGCAACGCGAAGAACCUUACCUGGUCUUGACAUCCACGGAAGUUUUCAGAGAUGAGAAUGUGCCUUCGGGAACCGUGAGACAGGUGCUGCAUGGCUGUCGUCAGCUCGUGUUGUGAAAUGUUGGGUUAAGUCCCGCAACGAGCGCAACCCUUAUCCUUUGUUGCCAGCGGUCCGGCCGGGAACUCAAAGGAGACUGCCAGUGAUAAACUGGAGGAAGGUGGGGAUGACGUCAAGUCAUCAUGGCCCUUACGACCAGGGCUACACACGUGCUACAAUGGCGCAUACAAAGAGAAGCGAACUCGCGAGAGCAAGCGGACCUCAUAAAGUGCGUCGUAGUCCGGAUUGGAGUCUGCAACUCGACUCCAUGAAGUCGGAAUCGCUAGUAAUCGUGGAUCAGAAUGCCACGGUGAAUACGUUCCCGGGCCUUGUACACACCGCCCGUCACACCAUGGGAGUGGGUUGCAAAAGAAGUAGGUAGCUUAACCUUCGGGAGGGCGCUUACCACUUUGUGAUUCAUGACUGGGGUGAAGUCGUAACAAGGUAACCGUAGGGGAACCUGCGGUUGGAUCACCUCCUUACCUUAAAGAA
RNAcentral lists this ribosomal RNA (1415 nucleotides) under Escherichia coli. RNAcentral describes it as "bacterial SSU rRNA". It matches the Rfam family "Bacterial small subunit ribosomal RNA". Lineage: Bacteria; Pseudomonadati; Pseudomonadota; Gammaproteobacteria; Enterobacterales; Enterobacteriaceae. The record is from RNAcentral.